GCCCGCGUGGCGAAACUGGUAGACGCACAGGACUUAAAAUUCUGGGAGUAAAAUCAUGUAGGUUCAAGUCCUAUCGCGGGCACCA
Molecule: transfer RNA, 85 nt
Filed under: Bacilli bacterium
Lineage: Bacteria; Bacillati; Bacillota; Bacilli
Description: tRNA-Leu
Rfam family: tRNA
About the family: Transfer RNA (tRNA) molecules are approximately 80 nucleotides in length. Their secondary structure includes four short double-helical elements and three loops (D, anti-codon, and T loops). Further hydrogen bonds mediate the characteristic L-shaped molecular structure. tRNAs have two regions of fundamental functional importance: the anti-codon, which is responsible for specific mRNA codon recognition, and the 3' end, to which the tRNAs corresponding amino acid is attached (by aminoacyl-tRNA synthetases). tRNAs cope with the degeneracy of the genetic code in two manners: having more than one tRNA (with a specific anti-codon) for a particular amino acid; and 'wobble' base-pairing, i.e. permitting non-standard base-pairing at the 3rd anti-codon position.
Source: RNAcentral